ACGAACGCUGGCGGCAUGCCUCACCCAUGCCAGUCGCACGAAGCCUUCGGGCUUAGUGGCGCACGGGUGCGUCACGCGUGGGAAUCUGCCCCUUGCUUCGGAAUAACAGUUAGAAAUGACUGCUAAUACCGGAUGAAGUCUUCGGACCAAAGAUUUAUCGGCAAGGGAUGAGCCCGCGUAGGAUUAGGUAGUUGGUGGGGUAAAGGCCUACCAAGCCGACGAUCCUUAGCUGGUCUGAGAGGAUGAUCAGCCACACUGGGACUGAGACACGGCCCAGACUCCUACGGGAGGCAGCAGUGGGGAAUAUUGGACAAUGGACGCAAGUCUGAUCCAGCAAUGCCGCGUGAGUGAUGAAGGCCUUAGGGUUGUAAAGCUCUUUUACCAGGGAUGAUAAUGACAGUACCUGGAGAAUAAGCUCCGGCUAACUCCGUG
Molecule: ribosomal RNA, 432 nt
Filed under: uncultured bacterium
Lineage: Bacteria
Description: partial 16S ribosomal RNA
Rfam family: Bacterial small subunit ribosomal RNA
Source: RNAcentral